GCCAGGUGUGGUGGUGCACACCUGUAGUCCCAGCUACUCAGGAGGCCGAGGCAGGAGAAUCACUUGAAGCCGGGAGGCAGAGGUUGCAGUGAGCAGAGACUGCACCACUGCACUCCAGCCUGGGUGACAGAGUGAGACCCUGUCUCAA
This 148-nucleotide non-coding RNA is filed under the name Chlorocebus sabaeus (green monkey). The record is from Rfam by way of RNAcentral. Lineage: Eukaryota; Metazoa; Chordata; Mammalia; Primates; Cercopithecidae.